CCGUAAAUGAACCUGCGGAGGGAUCAUUACCGAGUUUACAACUCCCAAACCCAAUGUGAACGUUACCAAACUGUUGCCUCGGCGGGAUCUCUGCCCCGGGUGCGUCGCAGCCCCGGACCAAGGCGCCCGCCGGAGGACCAACCUAAAACUCUUAUUGUAUACCCCCUCGCGGGUUUUUUUUAUAARCUGAGCCUUCUCGGCGCCUCUCGUAGGCGUUUCGAAAAUGAAUCAAAACUUUCAACAACGGAUCUCUUGGUUCUGGCAUCGAUGAAGAACGCAGCGAAAUGCGAUAAGUAAUGUGAAUUGCAGAAUUCAGUGAAUCAUCGAAUCUUUGAACGCACAUUGCGCCCGCCAGUAUUCUGGCGGGCAUGCCUGUCCGAGCGUCAUUUCAACCCUCGAACCCCUCCGGGGGGUCGGCGUUGGGGAUCGGCCCUCCCUUAGCGGGUGGCCGUCUCCGAAAUACAGUGGCGGUCUCGCCGCAGCCUCUCCUGCGCAGUAGUUUGCACACUCGCAUCGGGAGCGCGGCGCGUCCACAGCCGUUAAACACCCAACUUCUGAAAUGUGACCUCGGAUCAUGUA
Molecule: ribosomal RNA, 579 nt
Filed under: Trichoderma harzianum
Lineage: Eukaryota; Fungi; Ascomycota; Sordariomycetes; Hypocreales; Hypocreaceae
Description: eukaryotic LSU rRNA
Rfam family: 5.8S ribosomal RNA (bases 233-386)
Source: RNAcentral